This is a long non-coding RNA of Larimichthys crocea (large yellow croaker), 482 nucleotides long. RefSeq lists it as uncharacterized. The transcript has 3 exons. Lineage: Eukaryota; Metazoa; Chordata; Actinopteri; Sciaenidae. The record is from RefSeq and is a predicted model, not a curated record.
CAUCUCACCAGAGAGACUGACUGCUACUGCUGCUCUCUCUCACACACACACACACAGCCUGAUUUCAUAUUCCACACUGCUGCUGAGCAGUGACGCCUGUCUCCCUGCGCUGUCAUCGGCUGUCUGCCAUCCAAUCCCGUCGCUCUCCUCCUCUGAGAGGUUGGGUCCAUCCGGCCAUAUGUCCAUCAAGCUCUACUGUACCGCCCCAGGCUCUGUAAACACCCCUCCACCCUCAAACACACUCUGGCCUGCCCAGCUGUCCCAGCACCAGGAGUGGAACGAGCAAAUGGGACUUAGGUGCCGGACUGUGUCUGCUGCAGUGACUUCCUGGAGUCAAGAUUUAAGGAAGGGUUAAACGCAAUAAGAGAAAAGUGGAUAAAGUGGCACCAGCCAGCCUUUCUACAAACGUGGUCAAACGUGGUACUGCAACUGAAAUAAAUGUAAUGUGUAUGUAAUUAUAUUACUGCGAUUACUGUAGGUAA